This 511-nucleotide ribosomal RNA is filed under the name uncultured bacterium. RNAcentral's name for it is "partial 16S ribosomal RNA". It matches the Rfam family "Bacterial small subunit ribosomal RNA", at positions 355 to 857 of the family's 1533-position model. The record is from RNAcentral.
UAGGGAAUCUUCCACAAUGGACGCAAGUCUGAUGGAGCAACGCCGCGUGAGUGAAGAAGGUCUUCGGAUCGUAAAGCUCUGUUGUUGGUGAAGAAGGAUAGAGGCAGUAACUGGUCUUUAUUUGACGGUAAUCAACCAGAAAGUCACGGCUAACUACGUGCCAGCAGCCGCGGUAAUACGUAGGUGGCAAGCGUUGUCCGGAUUUAUUGGGCGUAAAGCGAGCGCAGGCGGAAUGAUAAGUCUGAUGUGAAAGCCCACGGCUCAACCGUGGAACUGCAUCGGAAACUGUCAUUCUUGAGUGCAGAAGAGGAGAGUGGAACUCCAUGUGUAGCGGUGGAAUGCGUAGAUAUAUGGAAGAACACCAGUGGCGAAGGCGGCUCUCUGGUCUGCAACUGACGCUGAGGCUCGAAAGCAUGGGUAGCGAACAGGAUUAGAUACCCUGGUAGUCCAUGCCGUAAACGAUGAGCGCUAGGUGUUGGGGACUUUCCGGUCCUCAGUGCCGCAGCAAAUC